CAAUCUCCCGAACUGCAAACCCACGAAUUCACCAGCUCCCGAACUGGAAACAAGGGAAUACUCGAAACUCCCGAACUGCAUACCAAGUAGCACUCCCAACUCCCAAACUGGAGACACACGAAUAGCUGCUAGGAGACGAACAGGAAAAGCCCCAAGCGGCUUACACUCCUGGCAAUCAGUCUCUAGCAGCAUACAGCGCUGAAAGCUGUAGUAUGAACGUCAGUC
This is a non-coding RNA of Pelobates cultripes (western spadefoot toad), 225 nucleotides long. Lineage: Eukaryota; Metazoa; Chordata; Amphibia; Anura; Pelobatidae. The record is from the annotation of a GenBank genome assembly.